UGUAAGCGUAUACCAAAGUUGUUGCAGUUAAAACGCUCGUAGUCGGAAUUUGGCAGUUCCGGAAGUGUGCACGUCGUGUGCGCACUUUGCGGGGACUGCUUUUGUGGUCUUGCGUAGGAUGAGGCACUUUCAUUAGUGAACGUCCUCACGCAACCACUCUUUACUGUGAGAGAAUCAGAGUGCUCAAAGCAGGCAUUUGCCGUGAAUGUAUUAGCAUGGAAUAAUAGAAUAGGACUCGGUUCUAUUUUGUUGGUUUGUUGGGACUGAGUAAUGAUUAAGAGGGACAGUUGGGGGCAUUUGUAUUCCGGCGCUAGAGGUGAAAUUCUUAGAUUGCCGGAAGACAAACUGCUGCGAAAGCGUCUGCCAAGGAUGUUUUCAUUGA
Molecule: ribosomal RNA, 382 nt
Filed under: uncultured eukaryote
Lineage: Eukaryota
Description: partial 18S ribosomal RNA
Rfam family: Eukaryotic small subunit ribosomal RNA
Source: RNAcentral